RNAcentral lists this small RNA (117 nucleotides) under Marmota monax (woodchuck). The record is from RNAcentral. Lineage: Eukaryota; Metazoa; Chordata; Mammalia; Rodentia; Sciuridae.
ACUGGGCAUGGUGGUGCAUGCCUAUAAUCCCAGCAACUCGGGAGGCUGAGGCAGGAGGAUCAUGAGUUCAAAUCUAGCCUCUGCAAAAGCGAGCAACUCAGUGAGACCCUGUCUCUA